AACGAACGCUGGCGGCAUGCCUAACACAUGCAAGUCGAACGAGACCUUCGGGUCUAGUGGCGCACGGGUGCGUAACGCGUGGGAACCUGCCCUUAGGUUCGGAAUAACUCCCCGAAAGGGGUGCUAAUACCGGAUAAUGUCUUCGGACCAAAGAUUUAUCGCCUUUGGAUGGGCCCGCGUUGGAUUAGCUAGUUGGUAGGGUAAAAGCCUACCAAGGCGACGAUCCAUAGCUGGUCUGAGAGGAUGAUCAGCCACACUGGGACUGAGACACGGCCCAGACUCCUACGGGAAGCAGCAGUGGGGAAUAUUGUACAAUGGGCGAAAGCCUGAUCCAGCAAUGCCGCGUGAGUGAUGAAGGCCUUAGGGUUGUAAAGCUCUUUUACCCGGGAUGAUAAUGACAGUACCGGGAGAAUAAGCUCCGGCUAACUCCGUG
This 433-nucleotide ribosomal RNA is filed under the name uncultured bacterium. Its description in RNAcentral is "partial 16S ribosomal RNA". It matches the Rfam family "Bacterial small subunit ribosomal RNA", at positions 29 to 507 of the family's 1533-position model. The record is from RNAcentral.